GACGAACGCUGGCGGCGUGCUUAACACAUGCAAGUCGAACGAUGAAGCGCUGUCUUUUUGGUGGUGUGGAUUAGUGGCGAACGGGUGAGUAAUACGCGGGCAACCUGCCCCUCUGCUUCGGGAUAAGCUUUGGAAACGGGGUCUAAUACCGGAUGUGCCUGUCUGGUCGCAUGGCUGGGCGGGGAAAGAUGUUUUUCGGCGGGGGAUGGGCUCGCGGCCUAUCAGCUUGUUGGUGGGGUGACGGCCUACCAAGGCGUCGACGGGUAGCCGGCCUGAGAGGGUGGUCGGCCACACUAGGACUGAGAUACGGCCCAGACUCCUACGGGAGGCAGCAGUGGGGGAUAUUGCACAAUGGGCGCAAGCCUGAUGCAGCGACGCCGCGUGGGGGAUGGAGGCUUUCGGGUUGUAAACCCCUUUCGGCGCGGGACAAGGCUCCGUUUGGCGGGGUUGAGGGUACGCGUCAAAGAAGCGCCGGCUAAUUACGUGCCAGCAGCCGCGGUAAUACGUAGGGCGCGAGCGUUGUCCGGAAUUAUUGGGCGUAAAGGGCUCGUAGGCGGCUUUGUCCCGUCUGCUGUGAAAACGCGGGGCUCAACUCCGCUCCGUGCACUGGGGUCGGGCAUGUUGGAGUGCGGGCA
This 635-nucleotide ribosomal RNA is filed under the name uncultured Actinomycetaceae bacterium. RNAcentral's name for it is "bacterial SSU rRNA". It matches the Rfam family "Bacterial small subunit ribosomal RNA", at positions 28 to 654 of the family's 1533-position model. Lineage: Bacteria; Bacillati; Actinomycetota; Actinomycetes; Actinomycetales; Actinomycetaceae. The record is from RNAcentral.